UCGAGCUGGUCGAUCGAUGGGGCGGCUCGAUCGGGCUGGGCCUUCUGUCUUCCUGCCGACGCACGCGUAGGCUGCCUGGCGGAUGUGGCUCGCUCCGGAAGGUUGUUCCCUUCGCUUAGACUGAUAGGCUCUGUGCUGGGGACUUUUGAAUUUUGUCAGUUUUGUCCUUGAGUUUUGCCACUCCCUCCAAGAGUAGCUUCCGUGUAAAUCUUCCAGAGCUUCCCACAAUAUCAGCCAGAGUCUUGAGACGAUGCUGUUUCGGCAUUACUGGUCCACCAGUUACUCUGCGUGUGGUGUCAGCUGUGGUGAUGGCGAAGGCUUCUUAUCCUGGCUUCCUACUCUUUGCAUCACAGCUGCAGUGGUGUGUUCUUGAUCUCAGGCUGUCCAGUGACAUUCACUCUUCUGAAUCUAUUCCAAGCUGCACUGCCAAGAUGAAAGUUAAACUGCUUCAGGUAUCUUGAAGAAGAAGAAGGAGACAGGUUACCAAAAAUCCCUUCCUAUACAUACAUAUAUAUAUAUAUAUAUAGGUCCCCCUACGACAUCAUCCAGGGAUCUUUGACAACUUAAAACAGUUUAGCAACAGUUAGAAAUUAACUUCCUGAGAUGAAUAAGGAAAUGUACUUAGAAAGCCUAGAAAGCAAUAUGUGUUAGAACAUUCAAGGCAAGGUUUAGAGCAUGUAAAGUCACUCAAGAUGAUUCUCAUACUUCGCAAAAAUUACAAAGGAAAAAGGAAAAAAAAAUAGCAAGGAAAAUAUGUGUCUCCAAGCCUAUGCACUUUCUCCUUACUUGAAAUCUGGAAUGACUCUUAGGCCUUUGCUUGGGGCCUUUGGACUGAGAAUUGUGAAAUAAUGCAGCUUAUUCCUAGAAGCUUUAUCUUGUGGUUUCUCAGACAGAUCAAAUGCCAGCAGGUGUGGGCAAGCGCAAGCCAAGAACAAUCAGACCAAGUGACAGAUAAUAGCCAGACAGACAAGGACACGACAUACUUAAAGGAAAUUUGAAAAACUAGAGAAACAUAAUUGACGCUAUUUAGUGAAGCCAUUGCAUAUAUCAGUGUUUUAAAGUGAUCAUUGGCUAUAAAUGAAGAAAAUAAUGAUUCUUGCA
This is a long non-coding RNA of Capra hircus (goat), 1101 nucleotides long. RefSeq lists it as uncharacterized. The transcript has 3 exons. NCBI's taxonomy places the organism in Eukaryota, Metazoa, Chordata, Mammalia, Artiodactyla, Bovidae. The record is from RefSeq and is a predicted model, not a curated record.